UCCUACCAUGUACUAACUACAUAAUUAAUUAUCCAUGACACGUGUUGUAGGGACCCCUUCUGAAAGUUCAAUAUUUCAAGCAAUAAAAGAUAUAUAAUUAAAUAAGAUUUCACCUUAACACAGCUAUGAUAAGCACAUGUGCCCAUCCACUAACUGGAUGGUUGAAACACCCGGGGGCCUAAACCUGCACAAUGAAAGAGGUGGACAAGGAGUAUGGUUUAUAGGUAUAAUCUAUGCCUAAAGCAUCUCACACAUGCAAAGUGAAUUUAGAAAGAAGCGAACCUUGCAGACGGAACCUACAAGUUGAUGCCUGCUGCCGAGGAAGUACCUGCCAAGCUACAUCACAUCGAGACCGAGCAGGAGAUUAGCAAAGCAUCCAAUGAGCUCCCCACUAACUUAGAACAGGAAGUCAAGCCCUGGAGCAUAACCCUGGUUUCUAAAAUUAUGCACUACUUAUGCUAGUUAUGUUUAUGCAUUAAGUUCAUAGGAGUUGCUUGAAACCCUAGUUGCAUGAUUU
Long non-coding RNA from Setaria italica (foxtail millet), 517 nucleotides. RefSeq lists it as uncharacterized. NCBI's taxonomy places the organism in Eukaryota, Viridiplantae, Streptophyta, Magnoliopsida, Poales, Poaceae. The record is from RefSeq and is a predicted model, not a curated record. The transcript has 3 exons.